GAUGAACGCUAGCUACAGGCUUAACACAUGCCAGUCGAGGGGCAGCGGGAUUGAAGCUUGCUUCAAUUGCCGGCGACCGGCGCACGGGUGAGUAACGCGUAUCCAACCUUCCGUACACUCAGGGAUAGCCUUUCGAAAGAAAGAUUAAUACCUGAUGGUAUGAUGAGAUUGCAUGAUAUCAUCAUUAAAGAUUUAUCGGUGUACGAUGGGGAUGCGUUCCAUUAGGUAGUAGGCGGGGUAACGGCCCACCUAGCCAACGAUGGAUAGGGGUUCUGAGAGGAAGGUCCCCCACAUUGGAACUGAGACACGGUCCAAACGCCUACGGGAGGCAGCAGUGAGGAAUAUUGGUCAAUGGACGAGAGUCUGAACCAGCCAAGUAGCGUGAAGGAUGAAGGUCCUACGGAUGGUAAACUUCUUUUAUAAGGGAAUAAACCCUCCCACGUGUGGGAGCUUGUAUGUACCUUAUGAAUAAGCAUCGGCUAACUCCGUG
Molecule: ribosomal RNA, 490 nt
Filed under: uncultured bacterium
Lineage: Bacteria
Description: partial 16S ribosomal RNA
Rfam family: Bacterial small subunit ribosomal RNA
Source: RNAcentral